Long non-coding RNA from Pelodiscus sinensis (Chinese soft-shelled turtle), 413 nucleotides. RefSeq lists it as uncharacterized. The record is from RefSeq and is a predicted model, not a curated record. Lineage: Eukaryota; Metazoa; Chordata; Testudines; Trionychidae.
GGUGGCCAACACUUGCCCAGCCCGGGAUCCUUUGCAUGCCUCUAGCAAACUCACAGCAAAUGCUUUGCAGACCCCAGUCGCUGGCUGUGAGAGAGUCAGCGUCGCACAGCUACAGAGGAACGGCAGGAACUGAAACCAGCUCUGUAAUUUAUAGCACUAAUAAGGCUCAACUGCCAUUUCUUGCGGUUUCCUCCCAAGUUGUCUUUGAAAAUUUCGACUUGUGCUGUGUUUGUUGUUGUUGCUGCUAAGGUUCACUAGUUAGGGGAAGAAAAUGGGAGGAAGGCAAAGAUGAGAAAAGAGGAGAGAAGAUGUGACCCCUUCCUACCGGAACCUCCCCUUCACUUUUGUUUCUUUGCAGCAACACAAUAAAAAAAACUAUCGAAACAAAGCUAAAAAUGACAGAAUGUUUUGAA